GAUGAACGCUGGCGGCGUGCCUAAUACAUGCAAGUCGAGCGAACAGACGAGGAGCUUGCUCCUCUGACGUUAGCGGCGGACGGGUGAGUAACACGUGGAUAGCCUACCUAUAAGACUGGGAUAACUUCGUGAAACCGGAGCUAAUACCGGAUAAUAUAUUGAACCGCAUGGUUCAAUAGUGAAAGACGGUUUUGCUGUCACUUAUAGAUGGAUCCGCGCCGCAUUAGCUAGUUGGUAAGGUAACGGCUUACCAAGGCGACGAUGCGUAGCCGACCUGAGAGGGUGAUCGGCCACACUGGAACUGAGACACGGUCCAGACUCCUACGGGAGGCAGCAGUAGGGAAUCUUCCGCAAUGGGCGAAAGCCUGACGGAGCAACGCCGCGUGAGUGAUGAAGGUCUUCGGAUCGUAAAACUCUGUUAUUAGGGAAGAACAAAUGUGUAAGUAACUAUGCACGUCUUGACGGUACCUAAUCAGAAAGCCACGGCUAACUACGUG
Molecule: ribosomal RNA, 497 nt
Filed under: uncultured bacterium
Lineage: Bacteria
Description: partial 16S ribosomal RNA
Rfam family: Bacterial small subunit ribosomal RNA
Source: RNAcentral